RNAcentral lists this ribosomal RNA (436 nucleotides) under uncultured Pyramidobacter sp. Its description in RNAcentral is "partial 16S ribosomal RNA". It matches the Rfam family "Bacterial small subunit ribosomal RNA", at positions 341 to 792 of the family's 1533-position model. Lineage: Bacteria; Thermotogati; Synergistota; Synergistia; Synergistales; Dethiosulfovibrionaceae. The record is from RNAcentral.
ACGGGAGGCAGCAGUGGGGAAUAUUGGGCAAUGGGCGCAAGCCUGACCCAGCGACGCCGCGUGAGGGAAGACGGCCCUAGGGUUGUAAACCUCUGUUGCAGGGGAAGAAACAAAUGACGGUACCCUGCGAGGAAGCUCCGGCUAACUACGUGCCAGCAGCCGCGGUAAUACGUAGGGAGCGAGCGUUGUCCGGAAUUACUGGGCGUAAAGGGCGCGUAGGCGGUCAUGCAAGUCAUCUGUCAAAUCGUGGGGCUUAACCCCAUCCCGCAGAUGAAACUGCAUGACUGGAGGCACAGAGAGGCAGACGGAAUUCCUAGUGUAGCGGUGAAAUGCGUAGAUAUUAGGAAGAACACCGGUGGCGAAGGCGGUCUGCUGGCUGUGAACUGACGCUGAAGCGCGAAAGCCAGGGGAGCAAACAGGAUUAGAUACCCUGGUA